Molecule: ribosomal RNA, 317 nt
Filed under: uncultured bacterium
Lineage: Bacteria
Description: bacterial SSU rRNA
Rfam family: Bacterial small subunit ribosomal RNA
Source: RNAcentral
GAUAAACGCUGGCGGUGUACAUAAGACAUGCAAGUCGAACGGGAGAAGACUGGAAGAUUUAUCUACUAGCUCGGACACCGUGGCGGACGGUGAGUAACACGUAAGCAACCUGCCUAUAAGAGGGGAAUAACAGUGAGAAAUUACUGAUAAUACCGCAUAAGCUGGAGGUAUCGCAUGAUACAUUCAGAAAAGAUUUAUCGCUUAUAGAUGGGCUUGCGUCUGAUUAGCUAGUUGGUGAGAUAAUAGCUCACCAAGGCGACGAUCAGUAGCCGGAUUGAGAGGUUGAACGGCCACAUUGGGACUGAGACACGGCCCAG